UGGGACUCUUAUUUUGAAAACCGGACACAGCUCGUCGAAGAAUGCUUGGAAAAGGUGGAUGUCUGUUUGUUCAGCGGCAUCCUGAGGAUGCAUAAGAGUACAUACUGCUGUGUGAGUGACUGAUGUGAGCCACAUGAGCCUCAGAGCAGAAUAUUCAUGACCCUUCUAAAUAAGAAUCAGCUCCACCAAUUUGAGGAUUGCAAGAACUGAAGUAUGCAAGCUAUAUGUAGAAAUCACAUCAUUUUACUGUACCUCUACCCAGACCAUCAGUACACCCAGGUGGAAGUUGUUGGAUUUAUACGAUUCCCUCGCUGCGUUUACUCCUCCACACCACCAGAGCAGUCAUGAGCAGCGUCACCAGAAUGGGCACCACGAUAAAAGGCCCCAGGAUCCGAUUGGGCGGGUCGUGAAGCAGCCGUCCAGACAGUGAGCAGUCAUGGAAGUAAUGCCUGUGCACCCGGAUGAAGAACUCGUCCACCAUGCGGUUGGGCCAGAAACAGUUCAUCUUUAGAGCCACCAGGAACGUGCAGUUGGUCAGUUCCCCAUACGACCUUUAGGAGGACAAAUUAUAGAAUAAUGUCAAGAGCACAUCUAAAUGAGCAAUGAUAAAGAUGCAUUUAAUGUCAUUCAAAUAUCAAAGUAAAAUAGAUAUCAAAGUACUUUUACUUUUUACUACUCUCAGAAAAAUAAAUUACGAUAAAGCUUAUUGAAGUUGAAGAUUAUUGAAUAACGACAAAGUUUACUGCUUGUACCCUUUUAAAUUUAGUUAAUAUCUCUUUCAUUUUAAUGUACAGUAUGUUGUCAGAUUCAAAUCAAAUACUAUUAGAUUAAAUC
RNAcentral lists this long non-coding RNA (834 nucleotides) under Danio rerio (zebrafish). Its description in RNAcentral is "si:dkey-253e1.1 (ENSDARG00000093211.4)". The record is from RNAcentral. Lineage: Eukaryota; Metazoa; Chordata; Actinopteri; Cypriniformes; Danionidae.